UCCAGACUCCUACGGGAGGCAGCAGUGGGGGAUAUUGCACAAUGGGGGAAACCCUGAUGCAGCGAUGCCGCGUGAGUGAAGACGGCCUUCGGGUUGUAAAGCUCUGUCGCAGAGGACGAAAAUGACGGUACUCUGUAAGAAAGCUCCGGCUAACUACGUGCCAGCAGCCGCGGUAAUACGUAGGGAGCAAGCGUUGUCCGGAAUUACUGGGUGUAAAGGGAGCGUAGACGGCAGCGCAAGUCUGAAGUGAAAUGCCGGGGCUUAACCCCGGAACUGCUUUGGAAACUGUGCAGCUAGAGUGCAGGAGAGGUAAGUGGAAUUCCUAGUGUAGCGGUGAAAUGCGUAGAUAUUAGGAGGAACACCAGUGGCGAAGGCGGCUUACUGGACUGUAACUGACGUUGAGGCUCGAAAGCGUGGGGAGCAAACAGGAUUAGAUACCCGAGUA
RNAcentral lists this ribosomal RNA (445 nucleotides) under uncultured bacterium. RNAcentral describes it as "bacterial SSU rRNA". It matches the Rfam family "Bacterial small subunit ribosomal RNA", at positions 330 to 792 of the family's 1533-position model. The record is from RNAcentral.